AUUGAACGCUGGCGGCAGGCCUAACACAUGCAAGUCGAACGAGUGGCGGACGGGUGAGUAAUGUCUGGGAAACUGCCCGAUGGAGGGGGAUAACUACUGGAAACGGUAGCUAAUACCGCAUACCAUCGGAUGUGCCCAGAUGGGAUUAGCUAGUAGGUGGGGUAACGGCUCACCUAGGCGACGAUCCCUAGCUGGUCUGCGAGGAUGACCAGCAACACUGGAACUGAUCUACGGUCCAGACUCCUACGGGAGGCAGCAGUGGGGAAGAUUGCACAAUGGGCGCAAGCCUGAUGCAGCCAUGCAGGGUGUAUGAAGAAGGCCUUCGGGUUGUAAACUACUUUCAGCGAGGAGGCGUUACUCGCAGAAGAAGCACCGGCUAACUCCGUGCCAGCAGCCGCGGUAAUAC
This 406-nucleotide ribosomal RNA is filed under the name uncultured bacterium. RNAcentral describes it as "partial 16S ribosomal RNA". It matches the Rfam family "Bacterial small subunit ribosomal RNA", at positions 30 to 526 of the family's 1533-position model. The record is from RNAcentral.